AGGCGGGCUCGGCUGAAGUGAAACCGCGAGGGGAGUUUGGCGCGGGCGGAGAGCCUCUUCGUCGCCAGCGGAGACAGACCUCGCCGGGCGGUCGGGGAAAAGCCCAACGACGCCGGGGAACAGAGAGAGAGAGAGCGAGGCCGGUUGCCCGUCGCGGCUGCCGCUGCUUUUCUUCCCUCGCUGCCGUCGGGGCUUCGAGGCGGACCUGGCCAGCCGGCUACUGAUGCAUCCACGAGCACCCAACAGACAUUGAACGAAACAGUACCCCCCCCCCCAAAAAAGGCACCUUGAUGUGAUUGCUGAAAACUGCAUGCACAGAACAGCCUGAACAAAGUUCAGCACUUGAAAACGAAAAAUGGCGGAUAGCUAAAGGGUUGGUGUCACUCUGGAAACGACAUCAGCUGCCAUCAAUAGCGAGGGGGUUAAGCAUCCUGAGAAAUUGUUUGGAAUCUGGACCAAGACUACAGCUUGACUCCCACAAGAGAGAAGUAUGACGAGAAAACUGACGAUUAGCUGAGUGUUUGCCUGCAUCUGAGCCAAGGUCAGCCCGUAUGGGAGCAUCAACGCCAAUCGCUUAAGGAUCAGUGGUAAGAUUAGAGAUAUAUGCCUGGUGCUUGUGGGAAGUAAAGACACAUGGAAAAUUCGAUGUUCCCCCUUGACAGAUCGAGAUGGCAUGCCUUCAUUGCAGCGCUGAUCUGUUGCUAAUUCUUUAAGGUCUGAGCCCCAAUAUUCUUAUUAUUUAUGCAAAUUAUACACCGCCACUCAUCUAAAGAUCACAGGCUGGUUUACAGUAUAAAAAUAUUGAAGUUCAGUUGCCCGUUUCCUUACUUUGAAAAGAGGUCCAAGUCUAUCGGGAUAUACCUUGAGUUGGAGGCAAGCAACAGAAGAUAGAUCAGGAUCUGCUGGCAGGUUUCUGGAUGAGUUGCAGUAGAUCCAAG
Non-coding RNA from Zootoca vivipara (common lizard), 938 nucleotides. The record is from RefSeq and is a predicted model, not a curated record. Lineage: Eukaryota; Metazoa; Chordata; Lepidosauria; Squamata; Lacertidae.